This 1219-nucleotide ribosomal RNA is filed under the name Escherichia coli. Its description in RNAcentral is "partial 23S ribosomal RNA". It matches the Rfam family "Bacterial large subunit ribosomal RNA", at positions 1 to 1251 of the family's 2925-position model. Lineage: Bacteria; Pseudomonadati; Pseudomonadota; Gammaproteobacteria; Enterobacterales; Enterobacteriaceae. The record is from RNAcentral.
GGGUUGUGAGGUUAAGCGACUAAGCGUACACGGUGGAUGCCCUGGCAGUCAGAGGCGAUGAAGGACGUGCUAAUCUGCGAUAAGCGUCGGUAAGGUGAUAUGAACCGUUAUAACCGGCGAUUUCCGAAUGGGGAAACCCAGUGUGAUUCGUCACACUAUCAUUAACUGAAUCCAUAGGUUAAUGAGGCGAACCGGGGGAACUGAAACAUCUAAGUACCCCGAGGAAAAGAAAUCAACCGAGAUUCCCCCAGUAGCGGCGAGCGAACGGGGAGCAGCCCAGAGCCUGAAUCAGUGUGUGUGUUAGUGGAAGCGUCUGGAAAGGCGCGCGAUACAGGGUGACAGCCCCGUACACAAAAAUGCACAUGCUGUGAGCUCGAUGAGUAGGGCGGGACACGUGGUAUCCUGUCUGAAUAUGGGGGGACCAUCCUCCAAGGCUAAAUACUCCUGACUGACCGAUAGUGAACCAGUACCGUGAGGGAAAGGCGAAAAGAACCCCGGCGAGGGGAGUGAAAAAGAACCUGAAACCGUGUACGUACAAGCAGUGGGAGCACGCUUAGGCGUGUGACUGCGUACCUUUUGUAUAAUGGGUCAGCGACUUAUAUUCUGUAGCAAGGUUAACCGAAUAGGGGAGCCGAAGGGAAACCGAGUCUUAACUGGGCGUUAAGUUGCAGGGUAUAGACCCGAAACCCGGUGAUCUAGCCAUGGGCAGGUUGAAGGUUGGGUAACACUAACUGGAGGACCGAACCGACUAAUGUUGAAAAAUUAGCGGAUGACUUGUGGCUGGGGGUGAAAGGCCAAUCAAACCGGGAGAUAGCUGGUUCUCCCCGAAAGCUAUUUAGGUAGCGCCUCGUGAACUCAUCUCCGGGGGUAGAGCACUGUUUCGGCAAGGGGGUCAUCCCGACUUACCAACCCGAUGCAAACUGCGAAUACCGGAGAAUGUUAUCACGGGAGACACACGGCGGGUGCUAACGUCCGUCGUGAAGAGGGAAACAACCCAGACCGCCAGCUAAGGUCCCAAAGUCAUGGUUAAGUGGGAAACGAUGUGGGAAGGCCCAGACAGCCAGGAUGUUGGCUUAGAAGCAGCCAUCAUUUAAAGAAAGCGUAAUAGCUCACUGGUCGAGUCGGCCUGCGCGGAAGAUGUAACGGGGCUAAACCAUGCACCGAAGCUGCGGCAGCGACGCUUAUGCGUUGUUGGGUAGGGGAGCGUUCUGUAAGCCUG